UGAACGGGAAAGGCCAGCUGAAGCUGUCCAUCGAGGUGCGGGGCCGGACGCUGGUGCUGCAUGUCAUGGAAGCAAAAGGUCUGAUGGGAGCAGAGUGCCGUGCGUGCGACUCCUAUGUGAAGGUG
Non-coding RNA from Lonchura striata (white-rumped munia), 125 nucleotides. The record is from RefSeq and is a predicted model, not a curated record. NCBI's taxonomy places the organism in Eukaryota, Metazoa, Chordata, Aves, Passeriformes, Estrildidae.